UACGAGGGGUGCUAGCGUUGUCCGGAAUCAUUGGGCGUAAAGCGCCUGUAGGUUGUUUAAUAAGUCUGUUGUUAAAGACUAGGGCUUAACCCUAGAAAAGCAAUGGAAACUGUUAGACUAGAGUAUGGCAGGGGUAGAGGGAAUUUCUAGUGUAGCGGUGAAAUGCGUAGAUAUUAGAAAGAACACCGGUGGCGAAAGCGCUCUACUGGACCAUUACUGACACUCAGAGGCGAAAGCUAGGGUAGCAAAAGGGAUUAGAUACCCCUGUAGUCCUAGCCGUAAACGAUGGAUACUAGAUGUUGUGUUUUAUAUACAGUAUCGUAGCUAACGCGUUAAGUAUCCCGCCUGGGGAGUACGCUCGCAAGGGUG
RNAcentral lists this ribosomal RNA (369 nucleotides) under uncultured phototrophic eukaryote. RNAcentral's name for it is "SSU rRNA". It matches the Rfam family "Bacterial small subunit ribosomal RNA", at positions 524 to 896 of the family's 1533-position model. The record is from RNAcentral.